UGGCCUUCUACGUUGAGGACCUCCGGGCCGGCCUUCGUUUCCCGGUCCCGGAGUUUGUCCGAAACAUUCUUGACUAUCACGGGCUGUGCCCGGCACAACUCGCGCCGAACUCAGUUCGGCUAAUAGUCAGUUUUGCUCUUCUGUGUCGGCUUUUGCCGACUGAUCCUCGGAUCUCCCUCUUUCGAGCUUUCUUCGUCCUCCGACCC
Molecule: long non-coding RNA, 206 nt
Filed under: Elaeis guineensis (African oil palm)
Lineage: Eukaryota; Viridiplantae; Streptophyta; Magnoliopsida; Arecales; Arecaceae
Description: long non-coding RNA (EGUI_LNC077429)
Source: RNAcentral